RNAcentral lists this ribosomal RNA (439 nucleotides) under uncultured bacterium. RNAcentral's name for it is "partial 16S ribosomal RNA". It matches the Rfam family "Bacterial small subunit ribosomal RNA", at positions 338 to 795 of the family's 1533-position model. The record is from RNAcentral.
CCUACGGGGGCAGCAGUGGGGGAUAUUGCACAAUGGGGGGAACCCUGAUGCAGCGACGCCGCGUGAGCGAAGAAGUACCUCGGUAUGUAAAGCUCUAUUAGCAGGGAAGAAAAUGACGGUACGUGACUAAGAAGCCCCGGCUAAAUACGUGACAGAAGCCGCGGUAAUACGUAUGGGGCAAGCGUUAUCCGGAUUUACUGGGUGUAAAGGGAGUGCAGGCGGCUUGCCAAGUCUGUUGUGAAAACCAGGGGCCCAACCCGGGGCUUGCAUUGGAAACUGGCGGGCUGGAGUGUCGGAGGGGCAGGCGGAAUUCGUGGUGUAGCGGUGAAAUGCGUAGAUAUUAGGAGGAACACCGAUGGCGAAGGCGGCCUGCGGGACGGUGACUGACGCUGAGGCUCGAAAGCGUGGGGAUCAAACAGGAUUAGAUACCCCUGUAGUC